RNAcentral lists this ribosomal RNA (484 nucleotides) under uncultured bacterium. RNAcentral's name for it is "partial 16S ribosomal RNA". It matches the Rfam family "Bacterial small subunit ribosomal RNA", at positions 28 to 507 of the family's 1533-position model. The record is from RNAcentral.
GACGAACGCUGGCGGCGUGCUUAAUACAUGCAAGUCGAGCGAUGAUGCCAGCUUGCUGGUGGUCUGGCGGCGGACGCGUGCGUAACACUAGCACAACGUGCCCCUGACUUUGGGAUAACCGCGGGAAACCGUGGCCAAUACUGGUUAUGGCGCACUUUCGCAUGCGCGUGUUUGGAUAGAGUUAGCGGGUUGUGAUGUCCCCGCGCCGUAUUAGCUAGUUGGUAAGGUAACGGCUUAACAAGGCGACGUAGGGUAGCCGACCUGAGAGGGUGACCGGCCACACUGGAACUGAGACACGGUCCAGACUCCUACGGGAGGCAGCAGUAGGGAAUCUUCGGCAAUGGGCGAAAGCCUGACGGAGCAGCGGCGCGUGAGUGAUGAAGGUCUUCGGAUCGGAAAACUCUGUUAUUAGGGAAGAACAAAUGUGUAAGUAACUAUGCACGUCUUGACGGUACCUAAUCAGAAAGCCACGGCUAACUACGUG